CGGGGGCCCGCGUCCCCAGGACGGCGGCACAAACUUUCCCGGCUGUUCGGGGAUACUUGUGGGGAGAGUCCCGCACUUGGAGGGAGGAGGAGCCGGAUCCGCGGACAGAUCUUGGAAGUCGUCUUCUGGGAGUUUCCAGCAGUGCCGAGUGUUGGAGAAAUCUUUUCUGUCCCUUGGAUACAGUGAAGAGAACAAAUACAGCUCAGCAGUAGGCUACUGAAGACAGCAAUCGUAGGUUUCAGAAGAUGACAGUGAAAUGUGAAGAAGUUACGUUUCUUACGUGAUACUUGAAAGUUAGUGAUUGCUUGCCAAAUUUUCCCGAUAAUGAAAUAUGACUUAGAA
Molecule: long non-coding RNA, 342 nt
Filed under: Ursus maritimus (polar bear)
Lineage: Eukaryota; Metazoa; Chordata; Mammalia; Carnivora; Ursidae
Description: lncRNA (ENSUMAG00000016114.1)
Source: RNAcentral